CAAUUUCCAGGAACUUGGCAAGUGUCCACCUGUUCCACUCUGUGUGAUAUCGGAGGGAUAGUGUCUUCCUUCCUACUCUUCAGGCUGGCUGCCAUCUGGUUAGAGCUUCCACUCAUAGUCUUCGGAACGCUCGCAUUCAUAGCCGGAGCCUUGGUGUUGUUGUUGCCUGAGACCCAAGGAGUUCCUCUGCCCGAGACCAUUGAUGACAUUGAAUUUCCAAAAAGAAAAAAAGAGGAUCCAAAGGCAAACCAACAACUGAAGGAGCUUUUAAAGUGUGACGAUGCAAACAAGGAGACGACUGUGUGAUUGUGUUUUUUU
This is a long non-coding RNA of Thalassophryne amazonica, 318 nucleotides long. RefSeq lists it as uncharacterized. The record is from RefSeq and is a predicted model, not a curated record. The transcript is spliced from 3 exons. Lineage: Eukaryota; Metazoa; Chordata; Actinopteri; Batrachoidiformes; Batrachoididae.